This is a long non-coding RNA of Anas platyrhynchos (mallard), 2444 nucleotides long. RefSeq lists it as uncharacterized. The record is from RefSeq and is a predicted model, not a curated record. NCBI's taxonomy places the organism in Eukaryota, Metazoa, Chordata, Aves, Anseriformes, Anatidae.
UAAACAGAAGAGGGGAUGGAGGCAAGCGAGGGAGACGUAGCGCUGUGCAGGACCAUUAGGCAAAGAGGGGAAGGGAUUAAGGUGCAGAAAUCUGCCCUUAAAUCAACGCCGCUGGAGCGGUGGUUGGGCUGUGUGAGUAAGAGUUAGCUCAGGGCAGGUAAGUCAUAUUUCUGCAGGCCAUGGGAUGUGAAGAUAAAGCUGUCAAAAAGCCCCCCAGGUUCUGAAAGGAGUGCCUGUUUUACUCCUUUUUAUCCUCAGCUGCUAGCUAGUACACAAACACUUGACUUAAACGUAUACUGAGAUUCAGAAGUGUAUGCAGUCUCAUACGGUUCUCUUAAGAUGUUAAGCGCUGUAAUAAACACCCACCCUUUUGCAACAUCAGAUAGUUUGGCUGACGCAGAAGAAUCCUUGAAACAUUAGACCGGCGACUGAGGAGGGGUACGGAUGUCAAACAUCUUGUUAUCAAAGCCAGAGCUUUCAGAGCAGUGUUUGAGAGGGCUACAUCGUUUUGAACAGCCCCCGCUGUACCAAAGCAUGUCCGGAUUUUACAGAUAACUUGUGCUGUUCCAUCUUUGAUAGCAGGAACAGCUUGGUUUUGCUGAGAGUGGAAAUGCCUCUGCUGAAAUGAUCUUGUGGAAAUGGGAAGAUACAAGAAAACACUCAAGUAGCCUGUAGCAGUCUGCAUACUGCUGCAAACAGAAGGAAAGUGCACAAAGCGAAACAUGACUUGGAUGAGAAACACAUCUCGCAUGCUGUUAUUGAUUACCCCCUGUAAUACAAUGUGUCCUCAGCUGCUAAGUGUGCGGCUUUUUCCACAGUUCACCAAAACCCGCUCUUCUGACCUUCCUCCUAAAAGCAUGACCUGCCUACCUUUCUGUGACUGUCAAUGUUGUUGGCUCCUCAGGCCAUUUUUCCAGUGCUCUUUUUAUUUUUCCCAGUAAUCUCCCCAGCUGCCACCUCCACAGAUAAAACUGGUAUUGCCAGUUAUGCACGACGUUAACUCUGAAAAGUGAAAAAAGGGAGAAGCUGGAGAUAUGCCUGAGCAGUAUUUCUACAUUACUUUCAAAUGUAAUACAUUUUUAUGCUUUGGAAACAGCAGACAAGGUGGCUCUUGGCCAGAGGAGUAAGAUAUCCCCAAGUUGGAUAUUACCAAACUUUGGCUGCUGGAUGCUAGCUGUUUACUUGCCCAGAAAAGGAAGUAGAACUACUGCACAGGAAGGUCGUACAUGUAUGUGCAAUUUCCUACAUCUGAUGGUGGUUUUCAUGGGACCUCUGGAUUGGCAGGAGGGGAAGAAUGUUGUUCUAAUGAGCCUUGAGUCCUACCAUAAUGUUUGGUCCUUCUCCAGCCUCUAACCAAGGUAUCUUGUGACUUCAGUUCUUAGGGCUGAGACAGGUGGAGGCAUACCAGGGAAAGAGGAGGUUUUGGGAAACAUAUAGGCAAGACAUAUAAGCAGUCUGCAAGAAAGACAGGGAGAGACUCUUUAGAGUGUGUAGUGUUAAGACAAGGGCUAACUGUUUUAAAUUAAAAAGGAGUAGGUAUAGGUUAGAUGUAAGGAAGACAUUCUUCACUGUGAGGGUGGUGAGACACUGGCACAGGUUGCCCAGAGAGACUGUUGAUGCCCCAUCCCUGGAAGUGUUCAAGGCCAGGUUGGAUGGGGCUUUGGGCAACCUGGCUCAGUGGAAGGUGUCCCUGCAUGUGGCAGGAGGGAUGGAACUAGGUGGUCUUUAAGGUCCUUUCCAAUCCAAACUGUUCUGUGAUUCUCAGACCUAAAUGGAGAAAGUACAUAAAAGGGCAACUUUCUGAGUGUUUUGAAAACUCUAUGAGUCAUGGAGUGUAUCAAAAAAUGAUGUCUGCCUUUCACACAAAUAUUAUCAAAAAUUUAUUAAAAAUAUGAAUAUGCAUGCCAAAAUAUACCUUUCAUUUUUUUCCACCUCUUUUUCUACUCUCUGUAUUGGUCCUUGUCUAAAGCAGCUUAGUUUCUGCAGUCUUUUCUUUGUCAAACUCAUCUUUUGCUCCCAAACAACUUCCAGCAGAUCUCAGCGCAGCGUGACUGGCACAUCUUACCCUGGUCAGUUUCCCCAGGGGAUGGAGUCCCUGGCCAGGAAGCUUCAUUGCCAAAGGGAUCUGCAAAGUGAUCUGCCAAAUCAGUCCUCGUCUGUUGUGUUGUCUGAGAUGUCUAUGUUUUUAUGAAGCAGCCGGUUCACUUAGUGAGUCUCUAUUUUUAGGUCUAUGCUAGCAGCCCUUAGGAAAUUAUAUUGAAGUUGAAGAUGAGAGGAUGUCCAGCAAGGUGAAAGCCUGCACAGACAAAAUGGUGUUGUCUUCCUAGUCUGUACUCCCACAGGGACUGCAAACACAGAUUUUGUGAGGUGUGUGCAUUGUCAAAAGGGCCUAAAAAACAAAUUUUGGGCUAGUCUAGUCAUCUUGAUAUACUGUGUUGUGCCAU